UCCCAGACUCCUACGGGAGGCAGCAGUGAGGAAUAUUGGUCAAUGGGCUUACGCCUGAACCAGCCAAGUCGCGUGAGGGAAGACUGCCCUACGGGUUGUAAACCUCCUUUGUCGGGGAGCAAAGAGAGUCACGUGUGACUCAUUGAGAGUACCCGAAGAAAAAGCAUCGGCUAACUCCGUGCCAGCAGCCGCGGUAAUACGGAGGAUGCGAGCGUUAUCCGGAUUUAUUGGGUUUAAAGGGUGCGUAGGCGGUUUUUUAAGUUAGUGGUUAAACGUCGGGGCUUCACCUUGAUUUGCCAUUAAUACUGUAAGACUCGAGUUCAGACGAGGUAGGCGGAAUAAGUUAAGUAGCUGUGAAAUGCUUAUAUAUAACUUAGAACUCCGAUAGCGAAGGCAGCUUACCAGACUGCGACUGACGCUGAAGCACUAGAGCGUGGGUAGCGAACAGUAUUAGAUACCCGUGUAU
Molecule: ribosomal RNA, 466 nt
Filed under: uncultured bacterium
Lineage: Bacteria
Description: bacterial SSU rRNA
Rfam family: Bacterial small subunit ribosomal RNA
Source: RNAcentral